CCACGCCGUAAACGAUGUCGACUUGGAGGUUGUGCCCUUGAGGCGUGGCUUCCGGAGCUAACGCGUUAAGUCGACCGCCUGGGGAGUACGGCCGCAAGGUUAAAACUCAAAUGAAUUGACGGGGGCCCGCACAAGCGGUGGAGCAUGUGGUUUAAUUCGAUGCAACGCGAAGAACCUUACCUGGUCUUGACAUCCACGGAAGUUUUCAGAGAUGAGAAUGUGCCUUCGGGAACCGUGAGACAGGUGCUGCAUGGCUGUCGUCAGCUCGUGUUGUGAAAUGUUGGGUUAAGUCCCGCAACGAGCGCAACCCUUAUCCUUUGUUGCCAGCGGUCCGGCCGGGAACUCAAAGGAGACUGCCAGUGAUAAACUGGAGGAAGGUGGGGAUGACGUCAAGUCAUCAUGGCCCUUACGACCAGGGCUACACACGUGCUACAAUGGCGCAUACAAAGAGAAGCGACCUCGCGAGAGCAAGCGGACCUCAUAAAGUGCGUCGUAGUCCGGAUUGGAGUCUGCAACUCGACUCCAUGAAGUCGGAAUCGCUAGUAAUCGUGGAUCAGAAUGCCACGGUGAAUACGUUCCCGGGCCUUGUACACACCGCCCGUCACACCAUGGGAGUGGGUUGCAAAAGAAGUAGGUAGCUUAACCUUCGGGAGGGCGCUUACCACUUUGUGAUUCAUGACUGGGGUGAAGUCGUAACAAGGUAACCGUAGGGGAACCUGCGGUUGGAUCACCUCCUUA
Molecule: ribosomal RNA, 738 nt
Filed under: Escherichia coli
Lineage: Bacteria; Pseudomonadati; Pseudomonadota; Gammaproteobacteria; Enterobacterales; Enterobacteriaceae
Description: bacterial SSU rRNA
Rfam family: Bacterial small subunit ribosomal RNA
Source: RNAcentral